GAACUUUGACCUUUGCAAGGGCACAUUCAGUGUCUACUUUUUGAGAGGAGGGAUUGAGCAAACUGUUCACUCACUAUGCACUUCCCAUCAAAACGGCAGGCUUCAGUUCUCUGUGCUCUCUGCGGCGAUACGGCCUGCUCACAGAAUCUAGGUCCCGAGUCACUUGGAUGUGACCAACUGCCAACAGAGAGAGGAAAGACAGAAGCGGCUACUUAAAAGCCAAACCCAGGGUUUGGAAGUUGUCUCUCAGAUGGCAAGAGGCUCUUGGAAUUAAAUCAGCUCCUUUGGAGAAUAAAGUCUUAUGCUCAAACACGACAGGUAUAAAUUACUGAGAAGGAACUUCAUAGCUCAGAGAAGCUAUUUCCCCACCAGCCCAACCCACUGCUCAGGGAACCACGGGAGGCCUGACCCCGGUACAAGUCCACAUGGAAAAGCUGGCAAAACAGCCUGCCAUCGGCACAGUACAGGAAGCGGUUUGCGCUGUGGCUACACCACCCAUGUGUUACACAAUGUGAUACAACUGGGGGGGGGGGCGUGGGGGACAACUGGCUUUCUUCUUCUUCCAAAUUAAAAUAGCCUUUCCUUAACGAAUUAU
Molecule: long non-coding RNA, 595 nt
Filed under: Mus pahari (shrew mouse)
Lineage: Eukaryota; Metazoa; Chordata; Mammalia; Rodentia; Muridae
Description: lncRNA (MGP_PahariEiJ_G0004960.1)
Source: RNAcentral